Molecule: unclassified non-coding RNA, 209 nt
Filed under: Hevea brasiliensis (rubber tree)
Lineage: Eukaryota; Viridiplantae; Streptophyta; Magnoliopsida; Malpighiales; Euphorbiaceae
Source: RNAcentral
CCAGCCAAUCCUGCACUUUUGUGUAUAAUGGUUGGUGAUGGGGUUCAGCUUCUAGGGAUGGGAGUUGUGACCAUAUUGUUUGCUGCUCUUGGGUUCAUGUCCCCAGCUUCCCGUGGAACACUUAUUACAGGUAUGCUAUUUUUCUAUAUGAUUCUCGGUGUUGCAGCAGGUUACGUUGCUGUACGUCUUUGGAGAACUAUCUGUUGUGG